AGUUUCAAUCGCCGCGCCGUAACCGGAUAAACAGAGGACAUGGAGAAUCGACAUGUUUUCAAGGCAACGUCGAGCAGCGAGCGAUUAAGUGGUUACCGAUCUCCAGUUACGCAUACCACGAAGUGCGCAGAGCUAUACGUACACGCCUGAUGCGACCUCAGACCAUUCGU
This 170-nucleotide unclassified non-coding RNA is filed under the name Priapulus caudatus. RNAcentral describes it as "wiskott-Aldrich syndrome protein homolog 1-like, transcript variant X6". The record is from RNAcentral. Lineage: Eukaryota; Metazoa; Priapulida; Priapulimorpha; Priapulimorphida; Priapulidae.